Cricetulus griseus (Chinese hamster) is the source of this 315-nucleotide non-coding RNA. NCBI's taxonomy places the organism in Eukaryota, Metazoa, Chordata, Mammalia, Rodentia, Cricetidae. The record is from the annotation of a RefSeq genome assembly.
AUGAGAUGGAGCUGGAUCAUCCUCUUCCUCCUGUCAGUAACUUCAGGUGUCUACUCCCAGGUCCACCUACAGCAGUCUGGUCCUGUUCUGGGGAGUCCUGGAUCCUCAGUUAAGCUGUCCUGCAAGGCUUCAGGCUACACUUUCACUGAUUACUUUAUUACCUGGGUGAAGCAAAAGCCUGGACAGGGCCUGGAGUGGAUUGGAAGGAUUUAUGGUGGAAGUGGUGGUGCUGACUAUGCUCAGAAUUUCAAGGGCAAGGCCACACUGACUGCAGACACAUCCUCCAGCACAGCCUACUUGGAGCUCAGCAGCUGA